GGUUUUUUGCAAUCCACACGGCACAGAUUUUUUUGAUUAUGUAGAUUUUUUUUUUUUUCCUCCUCUAUUGCAGUUUCAUAUGCAAAGCAUGCAUCAGCCACAUCCAUGCUAUCUCCUAAAGCAGUCAUUCUGAAACCCAAUCUGGGGACAGUGCAGACUAAAUAAAAUUUCAUUUUGAUUUGGCCUCCCGCUGAGAAUGGGACUGCUUUGUUUCAGCCGACAGAAGCAGCAAGCCAGAAAGGUGUUGAAUACACAAAUACUGACUUAACAGAAAAUUAUAAGUAGAGGCAGAAUCAAAGCUUCGCCCAGCAACUACAGAGAAAUCUAAUAUUUCCUGAGUGGGGAGAGAAGAAAGCUUGGAAACUGUAGGAAAACAUGGACCAGAAAAUCAUGUUAUUUCUAACCUAUACACACCACUGGGAUUUCCACCACUGGGAUGACCUUCUCAGAAAAAGCUACACCCAGCUUUUCAGGAGACCAUAGGCAGAAUGCACUUGCUGUACAAUUUUGUCUUCAGGCAAAGGGGCAUCUUUUCUGCAAGAAGCUGCACGAGUUACUGAACAUACCCCUUCCCACAGUGAUAAUAUUUUUUUCUCUUUUUUGGACACUACCACAAACUCUCUGACCCAGACAGAUGUUUUCCUUCAACACCUAAAUUGCAUGCACUCUACUCAUACUGAGUAAAUCACACUGAGUAUUUGUGUCCUAGGAAUGUUUGUCAAUAUCAUUGUUAUCUUGUUUGGCAUGCUUUUAUCCUAUUUCUUGUUCCUGUGACUCUGCAGAUCUGUGGGCAUGCAACCUGUGGCAUGCUGCAAAGAGUACAAACCUAUAUUUAUUUUAAUAUUAUUAUGUCUAUUAGCAUUUACUUUCUUGAUAUGCCCUAUGUGUUCUAAAAAAAUGUUUUCUGCAUAAGAGAAUGUAGGUGCAGGGAAAAGCUAGUUUGCUAUCAUUAUGCUAGUUAGUGUGAGUGUCUGCCAAAUUACAUCUCCCUUUUUUCCAAACCGACUUCAGAUAUAUGCAUGUAAAUUUUAACAAACAUGCAUUUGUAACACUAGAGGUGUUUAGUGUGUAUACAACAGCAAAAGCUUCCUUGUUUUGCACAGAGUGGAGACAUAAGAAGCAGUGGUGUUCUUGAUACCUAUGCAUGAUGGUAUCCUAGCCACUGGCAUAAUAGAGGCAUCAGAUAAAAUAAUAAUACUCAAAUGAUGUUUGCAAAGUUGAGCUCGUAAAUGUCAAAGGUGAUUUGAAGUGGACAAGAGUGAGUCUUAACAAAUCAAGUAGGGGCUGCUGGCAAUUGUUUCUCUUCUCAGUUCUUAUUGAAACUAAUAUUGGACAAAUUGAAAGAGUGAUUGCCUUAGAGCCUUUGCAAUGUCUUCACCAAUCUGUUGCCCAUUUCCAUAAAAAAUGGGAGUGAAAAUGGCAGCUGACUUCUUUUGACCUCUCUCAAUUUCAGAGGAGCUCCUGUUGGAGGCCUGAAAAAGCAGUUUUUCAAGCAGGCCAUUAACUUUCAUAGCAAGUUUAGAUGGCAGAGAAAUUGAAAAAUAUCAGUCAAAUAAUCUAUUUAAGCUUGGUCUUUCUAUAUGCACUAUGAUGCGAAUGGAAGCAAACCAGCAACAGAAAAAAAA
Molecule: long non-coding RNA, 1625 nt
Filed under: Lonchura striata (white-rumped munia)
Lineage: Eukaryota; Metazoa; Chordata; Aves; Passeriformes; Estrildidae
Description: domestica (Bengalese finch) lncRNA (ENSLSDG00000015461.1)
Source: RNAcentral